UACGGAGGAUCCAAGCGUUAUCCGGAUUUAUUGGGUUUAAAGGGAGCGUAGGCGGCCUAUUAAGUCAGGGGUGAAAGACGGUGGCUCAACCAUCGCAGUGCCUUUGAUACUGGUAGGCUUGAAUGUAGUUGAGGUAGGCGGAAUGUGACAAGUAGCGGUGAAAUGCAUAGAUAUGUCACAGAACACCGAUUGCGAAGGCAGCUUACUAAGCUAUGAUUGACGCUGAGGCUCGAAAGCGUGGGGAUCAAACAGG
Molecule: ribosomal RNA, 253 nt
Filed under: uncultured bacterium
Lineage: Bacteria
Also listed under: 1 other name
Description: partial 16S ribosomal RNA
Rfam family: Bacterial small subunit ribosomal RNA
Source: RNAcentral